GUGCUCUCUUCAGCAGCACACAUUGGAACAAUCUGGAGAUAAACAUGGCCCCUGCACAAGAGUGAUGCACAAAUUCAUGAAGUGUUCUAUAUUUUU
Molecule: small nuclear RNA, 96 nt
Organism: Rattus norvegicus (Norway rat)
Lineage: Eukaryota; Metazoa; Chordata; Mammalia; Rodentia; Muridae
Source: Ensembl